This 301-nucleotide ribosomal RNA is filed under the name uncultured bacterium. RNAcentral describes it as "partial 16S ribosomal RNA". It matches the Rfam family "Bacterial small subunit ribosomal RNA", at positions 509 to 809 of the family's 1533-position model. The record is from RNAcentral.
CAGUCGCCGCGGGAAUACGGAGGGUGCAAGCGUUAAUCGGAAUUACUGGGCGUAAAGCGCACGCAGGCGGUCUGUCAAGUCAGAUGUGAAAUCCCCGGGCUUAACCUGGGAACUGCAUUUGAAACUGGCAGGCUAGAGUGUGUCAGAGGAUGGUGGAAUUCCCGGUGUAGCGGUGAAAUGCGUAGAGAUCGGGAGGAACAUCAGUGGCGAAGGCGGCCAUCUGGGACAACACUGACGCUGAGGCACGAAAGCGUGGGGAGCAAACAGGAUUAGAUACCCGCGUAGUCCCUGUCUCUUAUAA